UGGCUCAGUGGUAGAGUGCUUGCCUUGCAUGCAUGAGGCCCUGGGUUCGAAUCCUCAG
RNAcentral lists this transfer RNA (58 nucleotides) under Dipodomys ordii (Ord's kangaroo rat). It matches the Rfam family "tRNA", at positions 8 to 63 of the family's 71-position model. From Rfam's summary of the family: Transfer RNA (tRNA) molecules are approximately 80 nucleotides in length. Their secondary structure includes four short double-helical elements and three loops (D, anti-codon, and T loops). The record is from Rfam by way of RNAcentral. Lineage: Eukaryota; Metazoa; Chordata; Mammalia; Rodentia; Heteromyidae.